RNAcentral lists this antisense RNA (504 nucleotides) under Actinospica robiniae DSM 44927. RNAcentral describes it as "Saccharopolyspora sRNA 350". It matches the Rfam family "Saccharopolyspora sRNA 350". Lineage: Bacteria; Bacillati; Actinomycetota; Actinomycetes; Catenulisporales; Actinospicaceae. The record is from Rfam by way of RNAcentral.
GCGCCGUGUACGCCCACGUGCCCGCUUCGCCGACCAGGCCCUCGUCGCCGAAGAAGUCGCGGUCCGCGAGCAGGCCGAGGCGCCCCUCGUUGCCGUACUUGCCCUGGAUCCGCCGGGAGACCUUGCCGUGCGCGAUCAGCACCGCGUACUCGGCCGCGGCGCCGGCCUCCACGAUGACCUCGCCGGCCGAGUACUCGCGCUGCUCGCACCGGCCGGCCAGCGCCGCGAGCGUCUCGGCGUCGUCGAACUCGUGCAGCAGCGGGAGCUCGGCGAGCUCCUCGGGCACCACGCUCACCCGGUCCCCGAUGUUGGAGAAGGUGAGCUUGCCGUCGCCCACCACGAACGACAGGCGGCGGUUGACCCGGUAGGUGCCGCCGUUGACCUGCACCCAGGGCAGCACCUUGAGCAGCCAGCGGGAGGAGAUCCCCUGCAUCUGCGGGGGCGUCUUCGUCGUGGUGGCGAGGUUGCGCGCCGCGUCGGUGCUCAGGGACUGGCGUGCCGACG